GACGAACGCUGGCGGCGUGCCUAAUACAUGCAAGUAGAACGCACAGUUUAUACCGUAGCUUGCUACACCAUAGACUGUGAGUUGCGAACGGGUGAGUAACGCGUAGGUAACCUGCCUGGUAGCGGGGGAUAACUAUUGGAAACGAUAGCUAAUACCGCAUAAUAUUAAUUAUUGCAUGAUAAUUGAUUGAAAGGUGCAAUUGCACCACUACCAGAUGGACCUGCGUUGUAUUAGCUAGUAGGUGAGGUAACGGCUCACCUAGGCGACGAUACAUAGCCGACCUGAGAGGGUGAUCGGCCACACUGGGACUGAGACACGGCCCAGACUCCUACGGGAGGCAGCAGUAGGGAAUCUUCGGCAAUGGACGAAAGUCUGACCGAGCAACGCCGCGUGAGUGAAGAAGGUUUUCGGAUCGUAAAGCUCUGUUGUAAGAGAAGAACGGGUGUGAGAGUGGAAAGUUCACACUGUGACGGUAUCUUACCAGAAAGGGACGGCUAACUACGUGCCAGCCGCCGCCGUAACAC
RNAcentral lists this ribosomal RNA (524 nucleotides) under uncultured bacterium. RNAcentral describes it as "bacterial SSU rRNA". It matches the Rfam family "Bacterial small subunit ribosomal RNA", at positions 28 to 526 of the family's 1533-position model. The record is from RNAcentral.